RNAcentral lists this ribosomal RNA (494 nucleotides) under uncultured bacterium. RNAcentral describes it as "partial 16S ribosomal RNA". It matches the Rfam family "Bacterial small subunit ribosomal RNA", at positions 28 to 507 of the family's 1533-position model. The record is from RNAcentral.
GACGAACGCUGGCGGCGUGCUUAACACAUGCAAGUCGAACGGUGAAGCGCCUUCCUUUUUGGUGGGUGUGGAUGAGUGGCGAACGGGUGAGUAACACGUGAGUAACCUGCCCCCUUCUUCUGGAUAACCGCAUGAAAGUGUGGCUAAUACGGGAUAUUCUGGGUCUGUCGCAUGAUGGGUCUGGGAAAGAUAUUGUUUCGGUGGGGGAUGGGCUCGCGGCCUAUCAGCUUGUUGGUGGGGUGAUGGCCUACCAAGGCGGUGACGGGUAGCCGGCCUGAGAGGGUGGACGGUCACACUGGGACUGCGGCACGGCCCGGACUGCUACGGGAGGCAGCAGUGGGGAAUAGUGCACAAUGGGCGCAAGUCUGAUGCAGCGACGCCGCGUGAGGGAUGGAGGCCUUCGGGUUGUGAACCUCUUUCGCCAGUGAAGCAGGCCUGCCUCGUUUGUGGGUGGGUUGACGGUAGCUGGUUAAGAAGCGCCGGCUAACUACGUG